UCUAAGCAUCUAAGAUCGAAGGAUCGUUUUUAAGACAAUCGGAUACAGAACAUUUUACAAACGGACAUGUUUAUAAAGAUAUGCAGGACUACAAAAUGGACAAGAUCUUCUGCAUCACUGCUCCGCACCUCUUUUUCUAAAGCCAUUAUCUGUGUUUGUCUUGUAUUUAAAAGUGUAAAAAUUCAUAAAUGGAUGUAAUGCUU
This 203-nucleotide long non-coding RNA is filed under the name Astyanax mexicanus (Mexican tetra). RNAcentral's name for it is "lncRNA (ENSAMXG00005022020.1)". The record is from RNAcentral. Lineage: Eukaryota; Metazoa; Chordata; Actinopteri; Characiformes; Acestrorhamphidae.